Esox lucius (northern pike) is the source of this 2338-nucleotide long non-coding RNA. The record is from Ensembl. NCBI's taxonomy places the organism in Eukaryota, Metazoa, Chordata, Actinopteri, Esociformes, Esocidae.
GUUUACACAAAAUGUUCUUCAAUUGACUUUGAGGUGUGUUUUUACUCCCUUUGGGUGUGGUUUGAGGCAACGGUUGAAUUCCGUUAGUCCAAAUUAACAUACCUGAAAACUAUUAAUUUGUGGAAUUUGCUAAUUUGUGUUGUUAUGCUUGCCUCUUACUAUUCCCUUGCAGUGAGUCUACGUAGCUAUAGAUUUGUUGAGCUGAAAUUGCUCAAUGUAUUGGGAUCACUACUUUUGCCCUGGGUACACUACGGUGAGAUUGACAAACCAAAGUAGUAGCAAGUCGAUUGCAUUCCCUGCAAGUAGUUAACUUUUUUAUUAUAGUUUCACAUUAAUGAACUUAUAAAAAUGUAUGUUGCAUCUGAAUCUGUUACUCAGCUGGGCAAAGGAAGGGGACUUGCUCUCAUUUAGAUUUUUGGAAUUGAGUAGGGUUGCAUUCCAAACUUAAAGUAGACAGGCCCUUAAACCUACACCCUCAACCCUUCAAUGGCAUUUCCCUAUUAAUUUAUCACAUCAUGCUUUUUCAAAUAUGGUCUGUUUUAUUUAGGCUUACCCUGGCUCAGUGUUUUGAUAAGUGUGAAUAUAGUCAGGACAAGGUGAUGUUUUUCAACACAUUUGCUUCAAUUAUCUUUACAUACAUAAAAUAUAUUUGCUUAUAUGUAGCUAAUGUAGAUAAGUCUCCUUUUAGUCCUAUAGUUAUUUAUAGUUAUUGAAACGCUGAAUUGGAGUAAGCCUACACAAAAUACAGACCUUAUCUGAAGUGGAUCAAAAAAAUCCCUGUGAAAGAAAUAUAUGGUGUAAAAAGGCAGAUCUGCUUGUCGGGUUUUUAUGGGGGUUAUGCCAUUAUUUCAUGAUUUUUAAUCUAGCAAGGGAGACAUGAAGUUAGCUAAAUUGCUAAGUUAGCGAGUUUGCUAACUCACUACGCACCUGAACAGUGAGGUUUGAGUCUGACACAAAAAUGUAGUUGUGCUGAUUAAAUUUGAUGUUUUAUUGCUACCGGCGUUAGACACGUGAUUAUAGUUUGCAUUGAAUUGUAGGUGAUAUAAACUGUUGCAUGUUAGCAAUGUUGCUCACCCGUCCCCUGGAGCUAAAUCAAGAGCGAAGGGCAAGCUUUUGUGAAUUGGACAGGGAGAUGGCACUCAAACUGCAUCUGAUUUCAGUGGGGAUUCCCACUAAAGAAAGUGACUAUUAGGAACUAAAUACUGGGUGAUUGGACAGCAGCACUUGAAGUGUCAUAUUUAGGGGACAGUGUCCAUGCUGACAGCGUUCCUCAACCCAAAACCAAUCCUUCCCGUUUGUGUUCAAUUAAACAUUCCAGAAUGUAAAAAAAUUAUGAAUUGCAGCAAACAAUUCCCCUUCAGCUGAUUACGCCCUACCAGAACAAAAUUGCUAUAGAGGCACAGGGUACCAAAAUAUCUGUCAAGAUAAUAAUAUUUAGAGGGUGUGGGGCCUAGUUUCCUGUACUGUUGCUAGUUGACUUUAGCUCAGAAUUCUUUAAGUAAUUCUCAGGUAAUCCCAGUGUCUCAGAGUAAAGGGUGCAUUACUGGUGUGGUACAUUAGCCGAUAUAAAUAGGUUGGGUUGUCUUUGUUCAUACUUUUAAUUUGAGAUCUGUCAAAUUGUCUGUUUUUCUUGCCAGCAAAUUUGGUUAUUGUGUGAUUUAGGUAUAUGAAUGUGUAUCAGGGAGCACACUAGAUGUUUUUAUGUACACAGUGGUUUCCUGACAAUGUGGGGUGAUUUGUCCUGACUAAAUUUCAGCAGCUUGUAACAAUAAGAGCAAUGCAGCUAAUGCAGUUUUGACUGACUCUAUUCUCCCCAAGGAACAUAUUGUCAAUCUAUAGUUAUUUUUACUAUCUGAUUUCUCUUUUUUUGCCCCCUAUUUAUGUCUUCCAUCUCUGAAUGUUGAGGACGAUAAGUACUGCACUCAGAAUCUUUAACUCACAUACUGUAUUUGAGGUUUGAUUAUGCUAAUUUACUGUACAUGUUUGUGUGGAUCAAAUGAAAACGUUUGGUAUGGUAAAUGAUGCCAUUACUGAUGCAUUUCUGUUUAAUUUGUUGGUGAAGGUGACUCUAAGCUUGUUUGUUUUUUUCAGAUGUUUUGUGGAAAGGACAGUUCCUCUGGAUUUCCACUAAUGUUUCUCUUUCUUUGUACUGUUGUCAUUGCAGACUCCUCUUAUUAGUUCAGAUAGUUCUUUAUCUAUAUGAAAUAAAAUACAAUUGUAUGACAUCUACAAAUGAAUUGUCUUUAUGCAACGCUGGGUUGUAGUAGUAGAUGUACAAUUAAAUGGGCAAUAUUAUGAUUUUUACUUUACCACCAUUAUAAAAACAAGCAGAAAUUAC